CCUACGGGGGGCAGCAGUAGGGAAUCUUCCGCAAUGGACGAAAGUCUGACGGAGCAACGCCGCGUGAGUGAAGAAGGAUUUCGGUUCGUAAAACUCUGUUGUUAGAGAAGAACAGCGCAUAGAGUAACUGUUAUGCGUGUGACGGUAUCUAACCAGAAAGCCACGGCUAACUACGUGCCAGCAGCCGCGGUAAUACGUAGGUGGCAAGCGUUGUCCGGAUUUAUUGGGCGUAAAGCGAGCGCAGGCGGUCAAUUAAGUCUGAUGUGAAAGCCCCCGGCUCAACCGGGGAGGGUCAUUGGAAACUGGUUGACUUGAGUGCAGAAGAGGAGAGUGGAAUUCCAUGUGUAGCGGUGAAAUGCGUAGAUAUAUGGAGGAACACCAGUGGCGAAGGCGACUCUCUGGUCUGUAACUGACGCUGAGGCUCGAAAGCGUGGGUAGCAAACAGGAUUAGAUACCCCGGUAGUC
RNAcentral lists this ribosomal RNA (465 nucleotides) under uncultured Granulicatella sp. RNAcentral's name for it is "bacterial SSU rRNA". It matches the Rfam family "Bacterial small subunit ribosomal RNA", at positions 338 to 795 of the family's 1533-position model. The record is from RNAcentral. Lineage: Bacteria; Bacillati; Bacillota; Bacilli; Lactobacillales; Carnobacteriaceae.